This 240-nucleotide ribosomal RNA is filed under the name uncultured bacterium. RNAcentral's name for it is "partial 16S ribosomal RNA". It matches the Rfam family "Bacterial small subunit ribosomal RNA", at positions 537 to 776 of the family's 1533-position model. The record is from RNAcentral.
AGCGUUGUUCGGAAUUACUGGGCGUAAAGGGCUCGUAGGCGGCCAACUAAGUCAGACGUGAAAUCCCUCAGCUUAACUGGGGAACUGCGUCUGAUACUGGAUGGCUUGGAUUUGGGAGAGGGAUGCGGAAUUCCAGGUGUAGCGGUGAAAUGCGUAGAUAUCUGGAGGAACACCGGUGGCGAAGGCGGCAUCCUGGACCAGUAUUGACGCUGAGGAGCGAAAGCCAGGGGAGCAAACGGG